UACGAAGGGACCUAGCGUAGUUCGGAAUUACUGGGCUUAAAGAGUUCGUAGGUGGUUAAAAAAGUUGAUGGUGAAAUCCCAAGGCUCAACCUUGGAACUGCCAUCAAAACUUUUUAGCUAGAGUGUGAUAGAGGAAAGUGGAAUUUCUAGUGUAGAGGUGAAAUUCGUAGAUAUUAGAAAGAACAUCAAAAGCGAAGGCAACUUUCUGGAUCAUUACUGACACUGAGGAACGAAAGCAUGGGUAGCGAAGAGGAUUAGAUACCCUCGUAGUCCAUGCCGUAAACGAUGUGUGCUAGACGUUGGAAACUUAGUUUUCAGUGUCGCAGCGAAAGCAUUAAGCACACCGCCUGGGGAGUACGACCGCAAGGUUAAAACUCAAAUGAAUUGACGGGGACCCGCACAAGUAGUGGAGCAUGUGGUUUAAUUCGAAGAUACGCGCAGAACCUUACCAACACUUGACAUGUUCGUCGCGACUCUGAGAGAUCAGAGUUUUCGGUUCGGCCGGACGAAACACAGGUGCUGCAUGGCUGUCGUCAGCUCGUGUCGCGAGAUGUUGGGUUAAGUCCCGCAACGAGCGCAACCCCUACCUUUAGUUGCCACCAUUAAGUUGGGCACUUUAAAGGAACUGCCAGUGAUAAGCUGGAGGAAGGUGGGGAUGACGUCAAGUCCUCAUGGCCCUUACGUGUUGGGCUACACACGUGCUACAAUGGCACUUACAGUGGGAAGCUAAGACGCGAGUCCAAGCUAAUCCCUAAAAUGUGCCUCAGUUCGGAUUGCACUCUGUAACUCGAGUGCAUGAAGCUGGAAUUACUAGUAAUCGCGGAUCAGCGCGCCGCGGUGAAUACGUUCCCGGGUCU
Molecule: ribosomal RNA, 857 nt
Filed under: uncultured bacterium
Lineage: Bacteria
Description: SSU rRNA
Rfam family: Bacterial small subunit ribosomal RNA
Source: RNAcentral